UCCCUGAUGAUCCAAUGGUUAAAACUUGGCGCUCUCACUGCUAGGACCCAGGUUCAAUCCCUGGUAGGGGAA
RNAcentral lists this transfer RNA (72 nucleotides) under Bos indicus (zebu cattle). It matches the Rfam family "tRNA". Rfam says of the family: Transfer RNA (tRNA) molecules are approximately 80 nucleotides in length. Their secondary structure includes four short double-helical elements and three loops (D, anti-codon, and T loops). Lineage: Eukaryota; Metazoa; Chordata; Mammalia; Artiodactyla; Bovidae. The record is from Rfam by way of RNAcentral. RNAcentral also lists the same sequence under 3 other names.